AAAUUGAAGAGUUUGAUCAUGGCUCAGAUUGAACGCUGGCGGCAGGCCUAACACAUGCAAGUCGAACGGUAACAGGAAGCAGCUUGCUGCUUUGCUGACGAGUGGCGGACGGGUGAGUAAUGUCUGGGAAACUGCCUGAUGGAGGGGGAUAACUACUGGAAACGGUAGCUAAUACCGCAUAACGUCGCAAGACCAAAGAGGGGGACCUUCGGGCCUCUUGCCAUCGGAUGUGCCCAGAUGGGAUUAGCUAGUAGGUGGGGUAAAGGCUUACCUAGGCGACGAUCCCUAGCUGGUCUGAGAGGAUGACCAGCCACACUGGAACUGAGACACGGUCCAGACUCCUACGGGAGGCAGCAGUGGGGAAUAUUGCACAAUGGGCGCAAGCCUGAUGCAGCCAUGCCGCGUGUAUGAAGAAGGCCUUCGGGUUGUAAAGUACUUUCAGCGGGGAGGAAGGGAGUAAAGUUAAUACCUUUGCUCAUUGACGUUACCCGCAGAAGAAGCACCGGCUAACUCCGUGCCAGCAGCCGCGGUAAUACGGAGGGUGCAAGCGUUAAUCGGAAUUACUGGGCGUAAAGCGCACGCAGGCGGUUUGUUAAGUCAGAUGUGAAAUCCCCGGGCUCAACCUGGGAACUGCAUCUGAUACUGGCAAGCUUGAGUCUCGUAGAGGGGGGUAGAAUUCAAGGUGUAGCGGUGAAAUGCGUAGAGAUCUGGAGGAAUACCGGUGGCGAAGGCGGCCCCCUGGACGAAGACUGACGCUCAGGUGCGAAAGCGUGGGGAGCAAACAGGAUUAGAUACCUGGUAGUCCACGCCGUAAACGAUGUCGACUUGGAGGUUGUGCCCUUGAGGCGUGGCUUCCGGAGCUAACGCGUUAAGUCGACCGCCUGGGGAGUACGGCCGCAAGGUUAAAACUCAAAUGAAUUGACGGGGGCCCGCACAAGCGGUGGAGCAUGUGGUUUAAUUCGAUGCAACGCGAAGAACCUUACCUGGUCUUGACAUCCACGGAAGUUUUCAGAGAUGAGAAUGUGCCUUCGGGAACCGUGAGACAGGUGCUGCAUGGCUGUCGUCAGCUCGUGUUGUGAAAUGUUGGGUUAAGUCCCGCAACGAGCGCAACCCUUAUCCUUUGUUGCCAGCGGUCCGGCCGGGAACUCAAAGGAGACUGCCAGUGAUAAACUGGAGGAAGGUGGGGAUGACGUCAAGUCAUCAUGGCCCUUACGACCAGGGCUACACACGUGCUACAAUGGCGCAUACAAAGAGAAGCGACCUCGCGAGAGCAAGCGGACCUCAUAAAGUGCGUCGUAGUCCGGAUUGGAGUCUGCAACUCGACUCCAUGAAGUCGGAAUCGCUAGUAAUCGUGGAUCAGAAUGCCACGGUGAAUACGUUCCCGGGCCUUGUACACACCGCCCGUCACACCAUGGGAGUGGGUUGCAAAAGAAGUAGGUAGCUUAACCUUCGGGAGGGCGCUUACCACUUUGUGAUUCAUGACUGGGGUGAAGUCGUAACAAGGUAACCGUAGGGGAACCUGCGGUUGGAUCACCUCCUUACCUUAAAGAAGC
This 1553-nucleotide ribosomal RNA is filed under the name Escherichia coli. RNAcentral describes it as "bacterial SSU rRNA". It matches the Rfam family "Bacterial small subunit ribosomal RNA". Lineage: Bacteria; Pseudomonadati; Pseudomonadota; Gammaproteobacteria; Enterobacterales; Enterobacteriaceae. The record is from RNAcentral.